Molecule: unclassified non-coding RNA, 255 nt
Filed under: uncultured fungus
Lineage: Eukaryota; Fungi
Description: sequence contains ITS1
Source: RNAcentral
UUUGACUCGUUUCAUCUUAUUGGGAUAUUCCGAAGAACAUCACUGAUGAGUUUCCAUCAUGGGGUUGUUUCUCACACUUGAUAAACAAGCGGAUUUAAAUGACCCAGUGCUGACGAAUCAGUCCUGGGAGUGGGAACAUCCGAAGAUAUCCCCAAACAAUUCAUUUUCACGUGACUGAAGACGAAGCAGCCGAAGCCACUUCGAAUUCGAAAUUAAGGUGUGGUAAUGAUCCUUCCGCAGGUUCACCUACGGAAA